This is a long non-coding RNA of Notolabrus celidotus (New Zealand spotty), 746 nucleotides long. RefSeq lists it as uncharacterized. Lineage: Eukaryota; Metazoa; Chordata; Actinopteri; Labriformes; Labridae. The transcript has 3 exons. The record is from RefSeq and is a predicted model, not a curated record.
UUUGCAUGCAUGUUGCCUGAACAUAGCAGCGAGCAUGAGGCGUUUUAGAAAAUUAAUUAAAAAUAUUUCUAAAGAGUUUGUGUCGAGUUUUCGAUCAUGUAAAUUAAGAUUAACUUCCCCUCUGUCGGAAGGGUUGGCUAUUUUGCAUAAAUACCAACUCUGUAGGUGUUAACGAAUGUAAAUAUCAAGCUAUAGGCUUUUUCUUUGAAGCUGACUUUUCUUCGUGCUGGAAUUUCCGACUCUCCCACGCCUUUGAAAAAUGUCCACAAACCUCGUGCAUCCAACCUGCAACCAUUCGUCUCAUAUAAGGCUGAAUAUCCUUCUGGACCCGCUGGAAAUACGAGCACUGAGCGGACAGGAGGAGGAGAAGUGCCCUGGAUGAAGCAUGAGGCUGAGACUGCUGGGUUUGCUCCAGUCCUCCUGCUGCCUCUCACAGUGCUGCUGCUUCUUCUUCUACGGUCAGAAUAGACGGCGUCAAAAGGAACACAGCGUGGUAGACAACAUCCGGCUGCUCCUUUCAAAAUAAAAGCCGCUCUGUCACCGACUAUACUCACUGAACUGUUUGUUUGACUUCCGGGCUUUUUAUUUCACCAUAGUAUCUGCUGUAAUUUCUUAAGAAUACGUAUGCUAAAAUGAAGUGAGAUAUCAGACUGAAAACUUUACAAAUUGUGCUUUUGAUUACAAAUUUUACAUUUUAUACAAAGAUGUGCUUCUUUGUUUUGCUUAGUCUGCAGCUCAGAACAAAA